Molecule: RNA transcript, 1095 nt
Organism: Nyctereutes procyonoides (raccoon dog)
Lineage: Eukaryota; Metazoa; Chordata; Mammalia; Carnivora; Canidae
Gene: NDUFAF8
Gene name: NADH:ubiquinone oxidoreductase complex assembly factor 8
Exons: 4
Source: RefSeq, a predicted model, not a curated record
CCCGGCCAAUCAGGGGGCGCACGGAACGCUGGGCGCCGGAAGAGGGCGGGCGCAAGAUGGCGGCGCCCACGGGUGCUGGGAGGAGCCGCUCAUGUCCGGGAACGGAGCGGUGUGGGGGCGCGUGCGGGGCCGCCUCCGCGCCUUCCCCGGGCGCCUAGCGGCCUGCGGGGCCGAGGCCGCGGCCUACGGCAGGUGCGUGCAGGCGUCCACGGCCCCGGGCGGCCGCCUGGCGAAGGACCUCUGUGCGCCGGAGUUCGAGGCUCUGCGGCGCUGCUUCGCCGCCGCGCGGAGAGUCACGGGUCGCGUGGAGCGCAUGGGGUUGGACAUGCUGCAGGAACCCGGCGCGCGAGGAGGGGGCCCUGGGCUGGGCCGGGAUGCCCGCGGCCCCCUGUGUCCCCCGGAGCUGCUGGUGCAGAGAACGCGACGCGGACAGGGCGGUUGAGCUCGGCGGACUCGGGGACCUCAGGCCGACCGUCCCCCGACGUUCCGGGAUCAUCCCGAGCGGGUACCUGUGCCUUGGCCGCUUGUCCGGGAGAGGACGGUGCGAGGCUCCCUUCCCGGGGGCUCGGAGAUCUUGCACCUCCCCGGGGACGCUCGGGCCUGGUCCUGCCGCCAGCCAGCACCGCCCCCCCCCUCGCCAGCCUCGCAUAUGACGUGGUCCGUGCAGCCAGGCACACCUGUCCCCUGCGCUUCCUCCCCGGUUCUGCGGUCUUCCCCGGGGGACUCUCCGCUCUGCGGCUGCGGCUUGGAAGAAGCUCCGUGGAAGGACCAGACACGUUCCCUACACACAGGCCAGAAAGACCCUGAGGGGAGGCCUUUAGGAUGGACGAGCAAGCACUGCACUUGUUUGCUGCCCCAGGGAGCAGAGCCGGGCGCCUGGUGCUGACGGCCGCCAAGGGCAAACGUCCAAAACGUCUGACACUUUUAGAGCUAGAAGGACUGCAGGCGCGUCGGGGAAGUGGUGGGCGAGCGGGCGUGGGUUUUUCUGCCUCGCGUGUGAGGCUUUGGGUUAGAGUAAGAUGCUGAAGCGAUAAUAAAGACCACGGCAGACCACGUGAGAGCUGUCCUGUUGGACGCGGCUGUGGGAACACGCUG